GGGGAUGUAGCUCAGUGGUACUGUGCCUGCCUGACAAGUGCAAGGUCCCAAGUUCGAUUCCUGGUACCCCCC
RNAcentral lists this transfer RNA (72 nucleotides) under Heterocephalus glaber (naked mole-rat). It matches the Rfam family "tRNA". From Rfam's summary of the family: Transfer RNA (tRNA) molecules are approximately 80 nucleotides in length. Their secondary structure includes four short double-helical elements and three loops (D, anti-codon, and T loops). Lineage: Eukaryota; Metazoa; Chordata; Mammalia; Rodentia; Bathyergidae. The record is from Rfam by way of RNAcentral.